RNAcentral lists this long non-coding RNA (509 nucleotides) under Theobroma cacao (cacao). RNAcentral's name for it is "long non-coding RNA (TCAC_LNC000540)". The record is from RNAcentral. Lineage: Eukaryota; Viridiplantae; Streptophyta; Magnoliopsida; Malvales; Malvaceae.
UUUGUCAUGCCCACACUACUAUAAUACCAACUGUCACAACCCACACCAACCUACGAGGCAUUGCUCACUUUGAUCUGCUAGUCUCAUGAUUUUAUCUCACAAAAUAUGUCCACAACACUCUGAUACCAACUAUCAUGGUCCACACCAACCUAUAAGGCAUUGUUCGCUUUGACCCACUAACUUCACAGUUUUAUCCCAUAAAAAACACAUCACAAGUUGAAGAUGGUUUGAACCCUUAAAUGUUUAGCCUUACUCUAGUGCACAAGUAGUGUAAGAUUCAUAGCUCCCUGUUAAGACCAUGACAAUCAUCCCCUGAUAUGCGAUUCAUGACUCUUCACUAGGACCAUGACAUCCUCCUCGACGAGGGAUUAGAUUGAUUCUUUAUUGAGAUCGUGAUCACAUGCAUACUCUUCGAUAUGGGAUUUAAUGAUUCUCCGUUGAGACCAUGACACCUUGCAGGCAAUAUGUUUAGUUGGUACAUUAGUUGUCACGACCCGGGAACCUCCCUC